RNAcentral lists this ribosomal RNA (496 nucleotides) under uncultured Sphingobacteriales bacterium. RNAcentral's name for it is "bacterial SSU rRNA". It matches the Rfam family "Bacterial small subunit ribosomal RNA", at positions 886 to 1382 of the family's 1533-position model. The record is from RNAcentral. Lineage: Bacteria; Pseudomonadati; Bacteroidota; Sphingobacteriia; Sphingobacteriales.
AGCCCGCUCAGAAACUUAAAGGAAAGUUGACGGGGCCCGGCACAAGCGGUGGAGCAUGUGGUUUAAUUCGAUGAUACGCGAGGAACCUUACCUGGGCUCAAAUGUAUGUUGACGUAUUCUGAAAGGGAUACUUCUUCGGACAAUAUACAAGGUGCUGCAUGGUUGUCGUCAGCUCGUGCCGUGAGGUGUCGGGUUAAGUCCCACAACGAGCGCAACCCCUAUCAUUAGUUGCCAUCAGGUCAAGCUGGGGACUCUAAUGAAACUGCCUACGCAAGUAGUGAGGAAGGUGGGGAUGACGUCAAAUCAGCACGGCCCUUACGUCCAGGGCUACACACGUGCUACAAUGGCCGGUACAAAGGGCAGCUACCUGGUGACAGGAUGCUAAUCUCAAAAGCCGGUCUCAGUUCGGAUCGGAGUCUGCAACCCGACCCCGUGAAGCUGGAAUCGCUAGUAAUCGCGCAUCAGCCAUGGCGCGGUGAAUACGUUCCCGGGCCUU